Molecule: non-coding RNA, 209 nt
Organism: Oryza punctata
Lineage: Eukaryota; Viridiplantae; Streptophyta; Magnoliopsida; Poales; Poaceae
Source: Rfam
UUUAAGCGCAACCAUUAGUUUCCGUAUCCAAUUUUGAUCGUCCGUCUUAUUUAAUUUUUUUUAUGAUUAGUAUUUUUAUUGUUAUUGUUAUUAGAUGAUAAAAUAUGAAUAGUACUUUAUGUGUGACUUAUGUUUUUUAAUAUUUUAAAAAAAAUUCAAAUAUGACGGAUGAUUAAAGUAGGACACGGAAACUCAUGGCUGUGCUUAAA